UUUAAUGAGAGUUUGAUCCUGGCUCAGGACGAACGCUGGCGGCGUGCCUAAUACAUGCAAGUAGAACGCUGAGGUUUGGUGUUUACACUAGACUGAUGAGUUGCGAACGGGUGAGUAACGCGUAGGUAACCUGCCUCAUAGCGGGGGAUAACUAUUGGAAACGAUAGCUAAUACCGCAUAAGAGUAAUUAACACAUGUUAGUUAUUUAAAAGGAGCAAUUGCUUCACUGUGAGAUGGACCUGCGUUGUAUUAGCUAGUUGGUGAGGUAAAGGCUCACCAAGGCGACGAUACAUAGCCGACCUGAGAGGGUGAUCGGCCACACUGGGACUGAGACACGGCCCAGACUCCUACGGGAGGCAGCAGUAGGGAAUCUUCGG
RNAcentral lists this ribosomal RNA (377 nucleotides) under Streptococcus agalactiae CCUG 28551. RNAcentral's name for it is "bacterial SSU rRNA". It matches the Rfam family "Bacterial small subunit ribosomal RNA", at positions 1 to 368 of the family's 1533-position model. Lineage: Bacteria; Bacillati; Bacillota; Bacilli; Lactobacillales; Streptococcaceae. The record is from RNAcentral.